The sequence is a non-coding RNA, 389 nucleotides long. It matches the Rfam family "Bacterial RNase P class B". From Rfam's summary of the family: Ribonuclease P (RNase P) is a ubiquitous endoribonuclease, found in archaea, bacteria and eukarya as well as chloroplasts and mitochondria. Its best characterised activity is the generation of mature 5'-ends of tRNAs by cleaving the 5'-leader elements of precursor-tRNAs. The record is from Rfam.
ACGUUCGGGUAAUCGCUGCAGCUCUGCUGCAGAGGAAAGUCCAUGCUCGCACAGGCUGAGAUGCCUGUAGUGUUCGUGCCUGGCCAAUUCAUAAGCCAGGGCAGUCGGGCUCACGCUCGGCUGACGGCCGGGAAAAUGCCUAAGUCGGCAACGAUAUGGCAUGAAUACCUAUAAAAGUGCCACAGUGACGGAGCCUUUCGAGAAAUCGAAAGGGUGGAACGAGGUAAACCCCACGAGCGAGAAACCCAAACGAUGGUAGGGGCACUUUCCUGGAGGAACUGAACGAAGGGAAGGACAGAUGAGUUCUCAUCUGUAGAUAGAUGAUUACCACCGGAGUACGAGACCUAUGGUCGUUUGCAGUACAAAGGUACAAAACAUGGCUUACAGAA